UUUGGCAAUGGUAGAACUCACACCGGUAAGGUAACGGGACCCGGUGGUUCUAGACUUGCCAACUA
RNAcentral lists this microRNA precursor (65 nucleotides) under Rattus norvegicus (Norway rat). Its description in RNAcentral is "Rno-Mir-96-P2_pre stem-loop". It matches the Rfam family "mir-182 microRNA precursor family", at positions 8 to 71 of the family's 77-position model. The record is from RNAcentral. Lineage: Eukaryota; Metazoa; Chordata; Mammalia; Rodentia; Muridae.